RNAcentral lists this unclassified non-coding RNA (644 nucleotides) under Hevea brasiliensis (rubber tree). The record is from RNAcentral. Lineage: Eukaryota; Viridiplantae; Streptophyta; Magnoliopsida; Malpighiales; Euphorbiaceae.
GAUCGGAAUCAGCAAGAACUGAUUUGAAACACAAAAUACCACAAAAUACCACAAAAUAGGAAGAACGAGAGAUUCUAGUUCUUCGUUCUUUCACCAAAGUUAUUUUUUAAAAAAAAAAUAAUAAAAAAGAGUUCGAUUAAGGCUAGAAACUAAAUUCAAAAAUCAAAAUAGAGCUGCGGUUACUGGCGAAGUCGUUCUUAGAAGAAUGAGAGAAAAUCUUGAAAGAAAUGCAGAAAAUCUACGCAGAAGAAUAAGAAAAUAAAAGAGAAAAGAAAAGCUAGGGCUUCGAGAUCUAAAAAAGGAAGUCCAUGGGAUGUUACAGAGAGCACAGUUUGUCUCUCUUAGUUUCUCUGGAUUAUUGCUUGGAUGUUAGUUUAGCGAGGAGGCCGAUAUUUUAGACAGACUGUAGAGGGAAAAAAAGAAUCUAAUUAACAAAAUAAAUGCAUCUUUUGGUUUAAAUUAUUUUAAAUUUAAUUUCUUAAAGUUGUUGUAGGUAACGGAUUUGAUGGAAAUGUGCUUUCACCGGAAAAGCGCUAGAGCGAGAAACAGGUCGUCAGGUCGUAGCGGCGAUUCCCGCAUGAAGUCGUAACCGUUAGGAUAAUUUUGUAAUUUAAUAACGGAAAAUGAAAAUUUUAUUUUACAUU